AAUUGGACCAGAGAAUGCGACCGGUGGAUUCGCACCUGAGAUCUUUCUACAGAUAAUGGGGGUAUCCCACCCAGUAAAACCCCCCCCCCCCCCCCCCCCCGCUGUGUAGAAAAUAAAUUUUGUAGCUGAGUACAGAUGUUUCUUUCCUCCCUACAUGCAUAGAAGUAGAUAAACAGGAAUUAAUUCUAACUUCCACACGAUGAAAAAAUGUAAAAGGACCAACUGGGGUAUUGGUCAUGGACUAAAAUAUAUUUUAGAAGAUCAUAAAGGUCCAUUUAUAUGGCUCUGACCCGAGUAGCAUGGGGCACGUGGAAUCCCGUGUGAAUCAGCAAGGACCACCUUGCAAGGCUAAAUACUCUUGGGUGACCGAUAGCUAAUCCGGCAUAGUUUUAUACGGAUACUGCCAGGAGAUAGAGUCAAAAUUGAAGUAAGUCCUUAUGAUUCAACCAAAGGGCGUAUAAUUUAUCGAGUCCACAACAAAGAUUUGAAGGAUUAGUUUUUCAACUUCACCAUUACUUUCGUGGGAAUACAAUUCGAGAUGAAAGGGUUGGGCUGUUCGCCCAUUAAAGCGGUACGUGAGCUGGGUUUAGAACAUCGUGAGACAGUUCGGUCCAUAUCCGGUGCGGGCGUUAGAGCAUUGAGAGGACCUUUCCCUAGUACGAGAGGACCGGGAAGGACACAAAAAGACUUACAUCUUUAAAUGAUUUGAUCAUUUUAUGGACCCACAUACAGAGACAAAACCGCGAAUCAAUCAUUUUUCUCGAGCCGUAUGUGGAGAAAGCUUCCCGAUUCAGUUUG
Non-coding RNA from Nicotiana attenuata, 798 nucleotides. Lineage: Eukaryota; Viridiplantae; Streptophyta; Magnoliopsida; Solanales; Solanaceae. The record is from Rfam.